Drosophila simulans is the source of this 632-nucleotide long non-coding RNA. RefSeq lists it as uncharacterized. The transcript is spliced from 3 exons. NCBI's taxonomy places the organism in Eukaryota, Metazoa, Arthropoda, Insecta, Diptera, Drosophilidae. The record is from RefSeq and is a predicted model, not a curated record.
GAUGGAGCCGACUGUUAUCGUCUGCUACUUUGUCUGUCCGGUUAGGAGAGAAUUCGUCGAUGAUGCAGAACAGGGGAGAAAUAUACAAUUUGAGGACAAGUUUUGCAGCAUAAAGGUGUGGCAUCUGCGCCACGCAGAUGGUCUUUAUUUAUGCAUUGGCGUCAGGAGGUGGAGACGGCAUCAUAAAAUUGUCAGAUAUUUGUAUCUAUAAUCGCAAAAGUUGGCGAUUUUGUUUUGCUUUAACGGGGCCCGUCUCCUGGUUUACGUGUGCGUCAUCGGCAGGAUGAGGCCGGAUUUUUGUAUUUGCUGGUUUGCCUGUCCGGUUUGUAUCUUUCUGUGUGUCCUUGAUUAAUUUUGUAUUCUGUUAUUAUUAAUUUUCCUUUCCACACAGAUUAUCAGGAAAUCAUUGAAGAAACGGUACUGAGGAAAUUUAUACAAUUUGGAGACGGAUUUUAAUUCUUUUUAAUAUGAUGUCAGCUCCGGGAUUGUGAUCCUUUUUAGUGCAGUGGCACCAGGAAGUGGAGACGGCGUUGGCUCGUCUUCUCUUGUUGGUUGCGUUGGAUCGCCAGUUGGCUGUGUUUAUUGAGGUAAGUGCUUUAUUUAAUUGUCUUUGUUUAUUUUCUUAUUGGGUU